RNAcentral lists this ribosomal RNA (434 nucleotides) under uncultured bacterium. Its description in RNAcentral is "partial 16S ribosomal RNA". It matches the Rfam family "Bacterial small subunit ribosomal RNA", at positions 29 to 507 of the family's 1533-position model. The record is from RNAcentral.
AGCGAACGCUGGCGGCAGGCCUAACACAUGCGAGUCGAACGAACCUUUCGGGGUUAGUGGCGGACGGGGGAGGAACACGUGGGAACGUGCCCUUAGGUUCGGAAUAACUCAGGGAAACUUGUGCUAAUACCGAAUGUGCCCUUCGGGGGAAAGAUUUAUCGCCUUUAGAGCGGCCCGCGUCUGGUUAGCUAGUUGGGUGAGGUAAUGGCUCACCAAGGCGACGAUCAGUAGCUGGUCUGAGAGGAGGAUCCGCCACAUUGGGACUGCGACACGGCCCCCACUCCUACGCGACGGAGCAGUGGGGAAUCUUGCGCAAUGGGCGAAAGUCUGACGCAGCCAUGCCGCGUGAAUGAUGCAGGUCUUAGGAUUGUAAAAUUCUUUCACCGGGGACGAUAAUGACGGUACCCGGAGAAGAAGCCCCGGCUAACUUCGUG